CCUACGGGGGGCAGCAGUGGGGAAUAUUGCACAAUGGGGGAAACCCUGAUGCAGCGACGCCGCGUGAGUGAAGAAGGAAGGAGGGAGGGAAAGAGAGAGCAGCAGGGAAGAAAAUGACGGUACCUGAGUAAGAAGCCCCGGCUAACUACGUGCCAGCAGCCGCGGUAAUACGUAGGGGGCAAGCGUUAUCCGGAUUUACUGGGUGUAAAGGGAGCGUAGACGGCAGUGCAAGUCUGGAGUGAAAGGCGGGGGCUCAACCCCCGGACUGCUCUGGAAACUGUACGGCUGGAGUGCAGGAGAGGUAAGUGGAAUUCCUAGUGUAGCGGUGAAAUGCGUAGAUAUUAGGAGGAACACCAGUGGCGAAGGCGGCUUACUGGACUGUAACUGACGUUGAGGCUCGAAAGCGUGGGGAGCAAACAGGAUUAGAUACCCCUGUAGUC
This 440-nucleotide ribosomal RNA is filed under the name uncultured bacterium. Its description in RNAcentral is "partial 16S ribosomal RNA". It matches the Rfam family "Bacterial small subunit ribosomal RNA", at positions 338 to 795 of the family's 1533-position model. The record is from RNAcentral.